This 440-nucleotide ribosomal RNA is filed under the name uncultured bacterium. RNAcentral describes it as "partial 16S ribosomal RNA". It matches the Rfam family "Bacterial small subunit ribosomal RNA", at positions 338 to 795 of the family's 1533-position model. The record is from RNAcentral.
CCUACGGGCGGCAGCAGUGGGGGAUAUUGCACAAUGGGGGAAACCCUGAUGCAGCGACGCCGCGUGGGUGAAGAAGCGCCUCGGCGCGUAAAGCCCUGUCAGCAGGGAGGAAAAUGACGGUACCUGAAGCAGAAGCCACGGCUAACUACGUGCCAGCAGCCGCGGGAAUACGUAGGGGGCACGCGUGAUCCGGAUUUACUGGGGGUAAAGGGGGCGCAGACGGCGAUGCAAGUCAGGAGUGAAAGCCCUGGGCCCAACCCCGGGACUGCUCGUGGUACUGGGUGGCUAGAGUGCAGUAGGGGCAGGCGGAAUUCCAGGUGUAGCGGUGAAAUGCGUAGAGAUCAGGAGGAACACCGGUGGCGAAGGCGGCCUGCUGGACUGCAACUGACGUUGAGGCGCGAAAGCGUGGGGAGCAAACAGGAUUAGAUACCCGGGUAGUC